GCGCAGCAGGCGAGAAAUAGUCUACAAUGGACGAAAGUCUGAUAGUGCGACGCCGUGUGUGCGAUUAAUUCCUUCGGGAUGUAAAGCACUUUUUCUAUGAGAUAAAAGCUCUUUAGGUUAAUAGCUUAUUGAGACCGGAUAUUAUUAUAGGAAUAAGCUCCGGCUAACUCCGUGCCAGCAGCCGCGGUAAUACGGAAGGAGCGAGCGUUGUCCGGAUUUUACUAGGCGUAAAGGGGCUAGGUAGGCGACUAAUUAAGUUAUAUGUUAAAUCCCCACGGCUCAACUGUGGUCCCUGCAUGUAAUACUGGUUAGAUUAGAGUACUGUAGAGGAAGGCAGAAUUCCUGGAGUAGCGGUGGAAUGCGCAGAUAUCAGGAAG
RNAcentral lists this ribosomal RNA (377 nucleotides) under uncultured microorganism. RNAcentral's name for it is "bacterial SSU rRNA". It matches the Rfam family "Bacterial small subunit ribosomal RNA", at positions 346 to 704 of the family's 1533-position model. The record is from RNAcentral.